GUGUUUGUGAGGGGAAAAUGGGGGAUUUGGGAAUGUCUGUGAGGAACAAGAGGGGUUUGGGAAUGUUGGUGAGGGAAAAAUGGAGGUUUGGGAAUGUUUAUGAGGGAAAAAAGGGGAUUGGGGAAUGUUUGUGAGGGAAAAAUGGGGAUUUGGGAAUGGUUGUGAGGGAAAAAGGGGAUUUGGGAAUGUUUGUGAGGAACAAGAGGGGUUUGGGAAUGUUUAUGAGGGAAAAAAGGGGAUUGGGGAAUGUUUGUGAGGGAAAAAUGGGGAUUUGGGAAUGUUUGUGUGGAAAAAAUGGGGAUUUGGGAAUGGUUGUGAGGGAAACAUGGGGAUGUGGGAAUGGUUGUGAGAGAAAAAUGGGGAUUUGGGAAUGGUUGUGAGGGAAAAAUGGGGAUUUGGGAAUGUCUGUGAGGGGAAAAAUGGGGAUUUGGGAAUGUUUCUGAGGAAAAAGAGGGAUUUGGGAAUGUUUGUAAGGGAAAAAUCAGGAUGUGGGAAUGUUUGCGAAGAAAAAGAGGGAUUUGGGAAAGUUUAUGAGGGAAAAAUAGGGAUUUGGGAAUGUUUGUGAGG
Molecule: long non-coding RNA, 567 nt
Organism: Empidonax traillii (willow flycatcher)
Lineage: Eukaryota; Metazoa; Chordata; Aves; Passeriformes; Tyrannidae
Exons: 3
Source: RefSeq, a predicted model, not a curated record